Long non-coding RNA from Haliotis rufescens (red abalone), 1333 nucleotides. RefSeq lists it as uncharacterized. Lineage: Eukaryota; Metazoa; Mollusca; Gastropoda; Lepetellida; Haliotidae. The transcript is spliced from 3 exons. The record is from RefSeq and is a predicted model, not a curated record.
UAUAACUGGAAUAAUGUUAAAAGCGGCGUUAAACCUAACUCACUCACUCACUCACUCACUCAUAGAACGUGAUACAGCACACAACAAAAUAUGCAACAUCUUAAAGAUUUUGAUGACGCAGCUACAUGUUUUGGUAUUUUUUCCGUAAUUAGCUAUUAUCAUGUGUGUUGACACACGUGCACAAACGUAAAGUCCAAAGAAUAAGCCGAAAGUAGUACUUCACAUCAACGUUAACUGUGAGGCCUGAGUGAUUGGUAUGUCGGCCUAUAUGUUUACCAACUGUGAUAACACCGUUAAUACAGCAGCAUUUUCCAAACAACUAUAUGCAAGUACAUACUUUGUGUAUGCAUGCAGAUUCAUACACCAGAAGACACACAAUGCAAACUGAUCAUAAAUCAAAUAUUUAAGUCAAAAAGAAUAUUUAACGAUAUUAUUACAAGAAUGUUAUUCAACUUGACGAAUAUGUAUCAAACUCAACCUGCAAUCCAUUCAUAGUGUAGCAUCAUGUAUUUACAUUUUAGUCAGACUUAAUGAGAGAGUAUUGUCAUGGCGCGUGACGCCUUGUCGGCGUUAUAGUCCCAUUCUCCUAAUUAGGGUUGAAAAACAGAAAUCCGCGGGUUCUUCGCAACUUCUCCAUGGAUUGUCCGCGGAUUAUUCGCAAUUAUACUGCAGAACACAUAACAAUCUUUUACGUUCUAAUAUACCCGCUUUGCUUAACUUUGCAAGCUUCGCUUUCAGUUGGAGCAUGCGCAGAUAUAACUAUAAACGAAGAUAUCGCAAUAUCGCUCUAUCUUCUAUCACCAUAUUUUGUCGUGUUAUCGCAAUAUCGCAUCAUACAAACGCUUUGUCGCAAAAUCCCAUUAUCCCAUGGAUAUCUCAAGACGACAUGGCGAUGACCCCUCUAAGUCUCCAUAGUUCAGGUUAUUUCAGUUCAGCACUUGUGCCAUGUAAACUCUCUCCUCAUCGGUGCGCAUUUAAUGUCUAAGCCAAUCAGAGUUGCUGAUACAACGAACCGACAUGACGUGAAGCGACCGGCCCACUGCCGGCCUACCAUCGGUGCAGACGGCAGCAUUGUCAUUUAGCAUCAACGUUAAUACGACUACAACGUGGCUGCUGCGACAGAGAAGUUCCUGUAUAGAUUCAUCAUUCAGCUGAUAUUUUUUAUUCAAUUUCCACCAAGUCACCUCAGUGGAGCCCCUCGCAGCUAAAACCUUCUUGGAAGAGUACGGCGACCUGAGGGAAAGCCUAAUCGAAUCAACAAAAUACAAUUUCAAAGUGAGACCUAAAAAUGAGACCUUCAUCAACAUUACUCUCGACUUCAGAACCCUGAACA